Cynara cardunculus var. scolymus (artichoke) is the source of this 494-nucleotide long non-coding RNA. RefSeq lists it as uncharacterized. NCBI's taxonomy places the organism in Eukaryota, Viridiplantae, Streptophyta, Magnoliopsida, Asterales, Asteraceae. The record is from RefSeq and is a predicted model, not a curated record. The transcript has 3 exons.
CCAUCAUCUUUCAUCCUCUUCUAUAAAACCCAGUUUUUCCCUUCCGUGAUUUAUGCUUCUUCCUUUUCCCCCCCAUUAAUUUUCCAUUCAUUCCCUUGCUUUUUCGUUUCAUGUUCCAUUUUUUCUUCUCUUUUAAGCUCUUGAAGGUUCAUCAAUCUCUGUAAUUAGAGCUUCAUAAAGCAGCUGCAAUGGCGGUCGAGCCUCUCAAAACUGUCUAGCUUUCUUCUGGAUUCUGUGGAUCGGUGUCAAAGAUCAACCCGCCGUCUUUCGGCUAGACGGACGGUGGAGUUGUCUAGAAUCAUGGGUUCAGCUUUCUGUUGACAAACAAAGGGACAAAGAUGAAGCACACAUUCUGUACAUGUUCAUUGGUUUUACUUUUCUGUAACUAAAAUGUAGCGAUGGGGCUAAGGUGUACAUUGACAUUUGACUGUCUUGUACUUUUACAUUUUCUUUGGCAGUUGCAGGUUUGAAUAAGAAAUCUAUCAUUCACGUCA